Penaeus chinensis is the source of this 853-nucleotide long non-coding RNA. RefSeq lists it as uncharacterized. The transcript is spliced from 3 exons. The record is from RefSeq and is a predicted model, not a curated record. Lineage: Eukaryota; Metazoa; Arthropoda; Malacostraca; Decapoda; Penaeidae.
GAGGGAGAGAGGGAGGUGGGUGAAGCUUCGGGUGCGCAAGUCAGUACCCCACACACACUGCUAGUAUGGACUUGCUCGUCCGUCCUAACACCUCGCUGUCUCGCUCUCGACUGGCCUAGCAGCUCCUCGCUCCUCCAGUUCUCCUGUUGCGCUCAAGCUCACGCUUACACUCUCUCCUUCAGCACAAGAGCUCGCUCCCUCACGCCGGUCCCCACGAUCCGUGUGCUGGAGGAAUGACGACCAUUCGUGACUUGUGAUCGGUGAUGGAGUAGCGAAAAAGGGCAAAUUUUUCUUAACACAGCCUCAGUUGAGGAGGGUAGUUGUACUGGGUGUGUGCGUGUGUCAGGUGUUAGAAUAGCCUCCUUUUGCCCUCUUACCCAGUCGCUCUCAGGUGCAACGAGCUUAAGUGUUGAGGCUGAGAAGUAGUGACUGGAACUUCACACGUAUAGAAAGCUUAAUGUGAUGAUGGCAAAUCCCUGAGAGAAAUUAUGCCAACCGAUGGCUCCGCUGGAAUCAUAACCCGACAUGACCUAAGACGUGUCACAGCCGCCGUUAGAGACAUCGUCGUUGAGCCGUGACAGGAGUAGAGAGUCUGCAUGCAUCACUCGAUGUCUGGCCACAACCGGGGGGGCGAGGGCAGGGGUCGCCCCAACGGCCGAGCCUACCACCCCAGCGAAAUCCCGCCCUACGAGAACUCAGGGGACAGCCUCGAACCCCCUUACUACGUUCAGGACCUCAACAAACAGAGGAGCCUUGGUGAGUAGAAUUGUAUUAAUAACUAGGAUUAUGAUAGGAAUAAUGAUAAUGAUAAUGGUAAGGGUAAGGGUAAUGGUAAUGGUAAUGGUAAUGGUAA